CCCUUAGAUGUUCUGGGCUGCACACGUGCUACACUGGCAGGUUCAGCGAGCUUCAUGCCCUGAUCUGAAAGGAAUGGGAAAUCUUUUCAAAACCUGCCGUGCUUGGGACAGAUGUUUGCAAUUAUUCAUCUUCAACGAGGAUUGCCUUGUAAGCGCACGUCAUCAGCGUGCAUUGAAUACGACCCUGUAUUCUGUACACACCGCCCGUCGCUCCUACCGAUUGAAGUUUUCGGUGAGUUGACAGGAGGAUUUUUUUGAAACUGGUUCGCCAGUGGAUUUUAGAUCCAAAUGCCAACGAAUCGAUGGCUUUAGAGGAAGGAGAAGUCGUAACA
This 332-nucleotide ribosomal RNA is filed under the name uncultured eukaryote. RNAcentral describes it as "partial 18S ribosomal RNA". It matches the Rfam family "Eukaryotic small subunit ribosomal RNA", at positions 1470 to 1796 of the family's 1831-position model. The record is from RNAcentral.